Apis florea (little honeybee) is the source of this 2796-nucleotide long non-coding RNA. Lineage: Eukaryota; Metazoa; Arthropoda; Insecta; Hymenoptera; Apidae. The record is from RefSeq and is a predicted model, not a curated record.
UUAAAUUUCAUAAAAAAAUAGCACAUGUAAGUAAUGAAAGAUUAAUUAUCACAUUCCACUCUUAAGAAAUGUCAUUUAUUUUCUGCGUUUCUUUUUUAGAUCACGGAAUAUAAUAAAACGUGUAAGAACGAUUAAUUUAAUUAUUCUCCAAUUCCAAAAAUAUAUUUUGGCGUAUAAAUAAAGAGCAGAUAAUUGUGACGAUUAUUCGGUGUCAAAUUGAAUCGACAAGUUCAUGGUCACGGCAGAUCCAGUGCCACGAGCCACGAGAAAAGAGAAACAGGUAUCGAAAACGGUACCGGACACGAACAGUGCGUACGGCAGGUGGAUGACGCAAGCGGGAUGACUUUACUCGUGGUUAUCCCUUCCCAAAAGUAAUAUUUCUUUCUCCCAGAAAGACAUUUUGCAGCUGACAUCUUUCUAUCUUCCAAACUCCCUCAUUUGCGAAUCUCUGAUGUCGAUGAUUUCAAUAGACAGAUAUGUAUAAUCUUUACACAAAUUAUUUUGUGUUUCAAUAUAUUUAAAUUAAGAUCAUGUUAUAAUGUUUCAUGUUACUUAUAUUGGCAAUGUUUUAGCUUAGUCAUGAUUACAUUUUAUACUUCAUUCCAUUGUCGUUGAUACAACUAUCCCGAAUAAUUCAAGAUAAUCAAAAAAGGAAAAAAAUAUGAAAAUCUAUUAAUAGAUUUUUCCAAGAGCUAAAGCAUCGAUGACGACACACUGAUCGAAUAUCGCGCACCAUGUCUCCCAGAAUUUAUUGUUUCGCUAUCGAGCCGUCCACGAUCUACUUUGAUAAUUACGUACCGUGUAAAACGAUAUUAAAGGGAUAGCGUUUCACGAGCGUAGCAGGUGAUAAGUAGGUUGCUACCCCAUGAAUUUAUGCGAACUUCGUGAGCCACGUUCUUACUCGUUAUUAAUCGCGCGUACGUGUAUUGCGCUUGGUGAAUGAUCACCAUAAUCUAUCCGUUCGAUGAUACGAUUCGAGAAAUCGGGCCUCGUUCCGAUUUCUUUCAAUGUUCCCGCGCUAUCUGUUAUCGAUCACCUUGGCCAAUUACGUAUAUCGGCCCAAUUUCUCGAUAAUGAUGGCUCGAUAUUGGUUUUCAAUAUUGACGACGUGGCCGUGCACGUCAACCGCCAUGGGAGAAGGAAUACCCAAGGAAUAUCCAUGACGUUGCAUCGUCAAAAUCAAACCUGUUUCUCGACCACCCGGUAUACAGAUAUGAUUAACCUUUCAGCGCCGUUAGCUCGUUCGGGUUGUGUAUUCGCUUCGAUCAAUGGUGCCACCGAGCGCAACACACGAAUCGCAGAAACGAACAUGGAAAAAUCACGGCGAUUAUUCCGAGGAUUAUGUUAGGUCGUUGACUCGCUUGCCUCUUCCGGUAAAUAUCCUUCCUGAUAGUGGCUGUGUGUAAUCGAUAGAAUAAUUCGACUGUGUGUGCUUCUCACGAUGGUAAAAUAUUCAUUCCCAUGGCAAUAAAAUGUCGGCGCGUAAUAAGAAAUAACAAUUUAAGGGACGAGUUUUGUGAAAGGGUUUAGCUGCGAGCAGAUCGUUUUCAACAAGCUUUUCAAACCAGUAUUCAUUCGUUUUUUCACUAUUUGGGAUUACGAAUGUAAGAUAUCGGAGUCGAUUAUCUAGAAAGCAAUUUCGCAAUUAGGGAUUGGAAAUAAUUAUGCGAGGAUUCGAAAUUGAAAUUGAACAAUGUAACAAUUGAAUGAUAGAUCCGGGAAUAAGGUGUAAAGCGGAUUAACAAGAUAAAAAAGAUAGAUAUCUUCAUGAUCUUCGGUUAUUUUGUCGCGAAGAGACAAGCCGAAUAAACUUAACAGUAUUCUUCCCCUUACUGACUGAAAAUUGCUUUUUAGUCUCUCUUCUUCUGCUCACGUUAGAUUUCUUAUACACGUUUCUUACAUUCAACGCUACAUUCUAUCGUAAUAUCUACAAUCUGCGCGCAUUAAAAUGAUCUGCGGGGAUCGUAGAAGCCAUACCUUACCGUUAUUUCAACUUCAACCGAAAUAUGUGUCGCAUACCCUUAUUCCCAGUCGCCAUUCAAUUACGUUAAUCCUGAUGCACAACCGCGCUGUGCACAAACAUUUAUCGCACACUGUAUUAAAUCCACAAUGGAAUCGUUAUCCUUAAACCCAUCACGGGCUAAAACAAGAUAAAUCGUGCGAUUUAUUUCAACGGGGGAUCAAAGGGUCAUCGUGUAUCACAGCCUCGAAACUCGAAGCUCGCGUAGGUGCAUCGUGCAAAGCGCUAAGCGCGGAUAUUUCAAUAGCGCAACAGCCAGUAAACGAAUAUACACGGUCGUGUUGCCCACAGGCUUCGUUGCGGCACAGAAACCUUUCUCUCUUUCUCGUCUCCUCGAACGCAUCUACGUGCCACGGCAUCAUCGUGCAUAUGCAUGCAAUCAAGCGGGAUUAAUUGAUGCAAGUAAUGACGCGUUUAAACGACGAUCGACCAGAUGCACAGGAUAAUCAAUCUGACGCCUCGGUUUUCAGGAUCGCCCGCUUUUUCUUCCUCAAAAAAAAAACGACAAUGGGGUGGAUAUUUCCUGAAUUUAAUCAUAUAGCUUCAACUCAUUAUACAUUUCUAACGAUCCAUCAAUUUGUUUCAGAUAUAUGAAUUGAUAAAUUAAUCCAACUUUAUAAGAGAGAAAAUAUGGCAAGAUGGAAGCUGUGAGAUCCAACAAAGUAUUUUUUUUCUUUGGAAGUCAAGAUGUAAUUAGAAACUUGGCUCGUUUAAAAAGUACAAUGGUUAAUGUGAUUUGAUCUUGUGUAAUAUCUAGGAAAAAAAAUAUGAAAAAU